GACGAACGCUGGCGGCGUGCUUAACACAUGCAAGUCGAACGGAAAGGCCCUGCUUUUGUGGGGUGCUCGAGUGGCGAACGGGUGAGUAACACGUGAGUAACCUGCCCUUGACUUUGGGAUAACUUCAGGAAACUGGGGCUAAUACCGGAUAGGAGCUCCUGCUGCAUUGUGGGGGUUGGAAAGUUUCGGCGGUUGGGGAUGGACUCGCGGCUUAUCAGCUUGUUGGUGGGGUAGUGGCUUACCAAGGCUUUGACGGGUAGCCGGCCUGAGAGGGUGACCGGCCACAUUGGGACUGAGAUACGGCCCAGACUCCUACGUGAGGCAGCAGUGGGGAAUAUUGCACAAUGGGCGGAAGCCUGAUGCAGCAACGCCGCGUUCGGGAUGACGUCCUUCGGGUUGUAAACCGCUUUCGCCUGUUACGAAGCGUGAGUGACGGUAAUGGGUAAAGAAGCACCGGCUAACUACGUG
This 468-nucleotide ribosomal RNA is filed under the name uncultured bacterium. RNAcentral's name for it is "partial 16S ribosomal RNA". It matches the Rfam family "Bacterial small subunit ribosomal RNA", at positions 28 to 507 of the family's 1533-position model. The record is from RNAcentral.